Salmo trutta (river trout) is the source of this 1899-nucleotide long non-coding RNA. Ensembl lists it as uncharacterized. The record is from Ensembl. NCBI's taxonomy places the organism in Eukaryota, Metazoa, Chordata, Actinopteri, Salmoniformes, Salmonidae.
AUGUGCCUUUCACACCCCACUGGCAUCAGCCACGGGUCCCCUCCAUUAAACACCCAUCCAUCAGUUGUCAGGGGAGAGGGCAUCAAAAAGGAGACAUUCACAAGUGCAUUUUGUUAUUUCGCUUUCUUUCUAUUCUCCCAGGUGCUGCAUGGAUUAUCGUGGUUAUGUCGACCAUUUGGACGUUUCGAACUUAGCAUCUAUGGACCUCGGGAAUGUCCUUGGGGAGGAAACAGCAAGAGGUAGUUAUGAGACACACCCUUCUCAGAGAUAAGUGCAGCAGCCCCACAAAGCCUCCUUACCUCGCUAAAGGAACCUACAAGGAAAUGGGAGGAUUUAUUUGAGAAGGAGCUCAGAAGGUAUCAGAAACAGUUACUCAAAGAAGCAAGGGACAAGCACUUCUUCAAAUUGGGGUGAGUCAAGUUUGCUUCUGUAUCCGUCAGACUUCUCGCAAUAUAGCUUAUCUAGCUGUACUUUUAAAGGCCCAGUGCAGUCAAAAACGUGAUUUUUCUGUGUUUUAUAUAGACCGAGUGUACAAAACCCCUGCUCUUUCCAUGACAAAUUGACCAGGUGAAUCCAGGUGAAAGCUAUAAUCCCCUAUUGAUGUUACUUGUUAAAUCCACUUCAAUCAGUGUAGAUGAAGGGGAGGAGACAGGUUAAAGAAGGAUUUUUAAGCCUUGAGAAAAUUGAGACCUGGAUUGUGUGUGUGUGCCAUUCAGAGGGUGAAUGGGCAAGACAAAAGAUUUAAGUGACUUAGAACAGGGUAUAGUAGUUGGUGCCAAGCGCACCGGUUUGUGGCAAGAACUGCAACGUUGCUGCCGCUAUGGGGCGGGAUGGAGUUUUGGCCUUUCCGUGGUGACAUCACAUUUAUCAAUAAAACCGCUAUUCGUUUAAAAAAAAAAAAAAAUUGUAAAUAAAAAUCUAUUAUACUCAAGACGUGUGGAAUAAAUCAUGUUUAUCUUGAACAAAUAUAAAUGAAUCAAGGUUUAUCAUCACGAUUUAUGUUUAUUGUUUGAACUGAACAAAUUGGAAAGACAAAUAUUACAUAGUGUUUUAUGGAAAUGAGCCCGAUUGAACCAAAUUAAGGCCAGUCUACACACCACAUGAGGGGCAGAGUUUUACUGUGUGUGUGUUGCAAAUGUAUUUCUUGCGCUUGAUGCGUGUGUACUGUGUCUUCCUAUCCUUCUUGGGUCCAUACACAUCGCAGUGCUUCUUCUUGUUGCUACCGACUGCAAUCUAGAAUGAUUAAAACAUUUAGUUCAGGAAUUUUACUUAACAUCUCACUCACAUAGUUACAGCAGGCCAAGGUAGGAGAGUCAGACACACGCAACAACACUCACACGUACUUUCGGUAUUGGAGUUGUUGGUUCUGUGGGUCGGGUGGAUGGGGCACCAGCAUCCUUCUCCUGAACGUAAUAACAUUCUGCAGAUUCCCACAAGAUAAUGUGUAGUUUCACAUGCUACAAAGGGUAAAGAGUGAGAGAAAAGCCGGAGACAGGCAGACAGGCAAAGAGACAGACAGCACCAAUAACCUAUGUUGAAACAGCAGGCCCAGGGAAGAGGAAGACAGAGUGAAGGCACAUAGCAAACCUUUUUGUUCCAUUUUCACUUGUUUUCACCUACACACACUUUCCACACGUGUGUUACCCCCGGGUCCAGUCGACCCAAACACCACAUAUGUAAUGUACAGUGCCAGUCAAAAGUUUGGACACACCUACUCAUUCCAGGGUUUUAAUUUAUUUUACUAUUUUCUACAUUGUAGAAUAAUAGUGAAGACAUCAAAACUAUGAAAUAAUACAUAUGGAAUAAUGUAGUAACUAAUAAAGUGUUAAAUAAAUCUAAAUAUAUUUUACAUUUGAGAUUCUUCAAAUAGCCACCCUUUGCCUUGAUGACAGCUUUGCA